CCUACGGGAGGCAGCAGUAAGGAAUAUUGGUCAAUGGAGGCAACUCUGAACCAGCCAUGCCGCGUGCAGGAAGACGGCCCUAUGGGUUGUAAACUGCUUUUGAACUAGAGAAAACCUUGGUACGUGUACCGAGUUGAUAGUAUAGUUAGAAUAAGCAUCGGCUAACUUCGUGCCAGCAGCCGCGGUAAGACGAAGGAUGCAAGCGUUAUCCGGAUUCAUUGGGUUUAAAGGGUGCGUAGGCGGACUGAUAAGUCAGUGGUGAAAUCUCUCAGCUUAACUGAGAAACUGCCAUUGAUACUGUUAGUCUAGAGUACAGAUGAUGUGGGCGGAAUAUGACAUGUAGUGGUGAAAUACUUAGAUAUGUCAUAGAACACCGAUUGCGAAGGCAGCUCACAAAACUGUAACUGACGCUGAGGCACGAAAGUGCGGGGAUCAAACAGGAUUAGAUACCCUGGUAGUCCGCACCGUAAACGAUGAUUACUCGUUGUUGGCGAUAUGACAGUCAGCGACCGAACGACGAACGACGAGUAAGUAACGUACCGUACCCGUCGGGGUAGGUACGGUCCCGGCCGACCGGUACGGUAACCGUACGAAACGGAAAGUUAGGUUACGGACGUUGGAGGACGUUCGGACCGACGGACGACGACGAGGGAGGUAGGGAG
Molecule: ribosomal RNA, 662 nt
Filed under: uncultured bacterium
Lineage: Bacteria
Description: bacterial SSU rRNA
Rfam family: Bacterial small subunit ribosomal RNA (bases 1-541)
Source: RNAcentral